UCGGGAAUUUUGGGCAAUGGGCGAAAGCCUGACCCAGCAACGCCGCGUGAAGGAUGAAGUAUUUCGGUAUGUAAACUUCGAAAGAAUAGGAAGAAUAAAUGACGGUACUAUUUAUAAGGUCCGGCUAACUACGUGCCAGCAGCCGCGGUAAUACGUAGGGACCAAGCGUUGUUCGGAUUUACUGGGCGUAAAGGGCGCGUAGGCGGCCCUCUAAGUCAGACGUGAAAUCCCCCGGCUUAACCUGGGAACUGCGUCUGAUACUGGAGGGCUUGAGUAUGGGAGAGGGAUGUAGAAUUCCAGGUGUAGCGGUGAAAUGCGUAGAUAUCUGGAGGAAUACCGGUGGCGAAGGCGGCAUCCUGGACCAUUACUGACGCUGAGGCGCGAAAGCUAGGGGANCAAACGGGAUUAGAUACCCACGUAGUCCCUGAGCGGGCUGGCAAGGCGCAU
This 447-nucleotide ribosomal RNA is filed under the name uncultured bacterium. Its description in RNAcentral is "bacterial SSU rRNA". It matches the Rfam family "Bacterial small subunit ribosomal RNA", at positions 355 to 825 of the family's 1533-position model. The record is from RNAcentral.